AGUGAAUAGAUACCCGGGUAGUCCACGCCCUAAACGAUGUCGACUAGUCGUUCGGAGCAGCAAAUGCACUGAGUGACGCAGCUAACGCGUGAAGUCGACCGCCUGGGGAGUACGGCCGCAAGGUUAAAACUCAAAGGAAUUGACGGGGACCCGCACAAGCGGUGGAUGAUGUGGAUUAAUUCGAUGCAACGCGAAAAACCUUACCUACCCUUGACAUGUCUGGAACCUUGCUGAGAGGCGAGGGUGCCUUCGGGAGCCAGAACACAGGUGCUGCAUGGCUGUCGUCAGCUCGUGUCGUGAGAUGUUGGGUUAAGUCCCGCAACGAGCGCAACCCUUGUCACUAGUUGCCAUCAUUUGGUUGGGCACUCUAGUGAGACUGCCGGUGACAAACCGGAGGAAGGUGGGGAUGACGUCAAGUCCUCAUGGCCCUUAUGGGUAGGGCUUCACACGUCAUACAAUGGUCGGUACAGAGGGUUGCCAAGCCGCGAGGUGGAGCCAAUCCCUUAAAGCCGAUCGUAGUCCGGAUCGUA
RNAcentral lists this ribosomal RNA (530 nucleotides) under uncultured bacterium. Its description in RNAcentral is "bacterial SSU rRNA". It matches the Rfam family "Bacterial small subunit ribosomal RNA", at positions 774 to 1302 of the family's 1533-position model. The record is from RNAcentral.